CAGUAGCCGCGGUAAUACGUAGGGUGCGAGCGUUAAUCGGAAUUACUGGGCGUAAAGCGUGCGCAGGCGGUUCGUUAAGACAGAUGUGAAAUCCCCGGGCUUAACCUGGGAACUGCAUUUGUGACUGGCGAGCUAGAGUAUGGCAGAGGGGGGUAGAAUUCCACGUGUAGCAGUGAAAUGCGUAGAGAUGUGGAGGAAUACCGAUGGCGAAGGCAGCCCCCUGGGCCAAUACUGACGCUCAUGCACGAAAGCGUGGGGAGCAAACAGGAUUAGAUACCCCCGUAGUCCCUGUCUCUUAUAC
This 301-nucleotide ribosomal RNA is filed under the name uncultured bacterium. RNAcentral's name for it is "partial 16S ribosomal RNA". It matches the Rfam family "Bacterial small subunit ribosomal RNA", at positions 509 to 807 of the family's 1533-position model. The record is from RNAcentral.